This 520-nucleotide unclassified non-coding RNA is filed under the name uncultured Glomus. RNAcentral describes it as "SSU rRNA". It matches the Rfam family "Eukaryotic small subunit ribosomal RNA", at positions 569 to 1089 of the family's 1831-position model. The record is from RNAcentral. Lineage: Eukaryota; Fungi; Glomeromycota; Glomeromycetes; Glomerales; Glomeraceae.
AGCAGCCGCGGUAAUUCCAGCUCCAAUAGCGUAUAUUAAAGUUGUUGCAGUUAAAAAGCUCGUAGUUGAAUUUCGGGAUCAGUACGCCGGUCGUGCCUUCGGUAUGCACUGGUGUCACUGGUUUCUCCCUUCUGAAGAACCAUCAUGCCAUUAAGUUGGUGUGGCGGGAAAUCAGGACUGUUACUUUGAAAAAAUUAGAGUGUUUAAAGCAGGCUCGCGCUUGAAUACAUUAGCAUGGAAUAAUGAAAUAGGACGUUUGACCCUAUUUUGUUGGUUUCUAGGAUCGACGUAAUGAUUAAUAGAGAUAGUUGGGGGCAUUAGUAUUCAAUUGUCAGAGGUGAAAUUCUUGGAUUUAUUGAAGACUAACUACUGCGAAAGCAUUUUGCCAAGGAUGUUUUCAUUAAUCAAGAACGAAAGUUAGGGGAUCGAAGACGAUCAGAUACCGUCGUAGUCUUAACCAUAAACUAUGCCGACUAGGGAUCGGAUGAUGUUAAUUUUUUAAUGACUCAUUCGGCGCCUU